ACGACGCUGGCGGCGUGCCUAAUACAUGCAAGUCGAACGGUCUUUCUAUGGAAGCUUGCUUCCACUGAGAAGAUAGUGGCGAACGGGUGAGUAACACGUGGGUAACCUGCCCAUAAGAGGGGGAUAACAUCCGGAAACGGGUGCUAAUACCGCAUAGUUUUCUUGAUCGCAUGAUUGAGAAAGGAAAGACGGCCUUUGUGCUGUCGCUUAUGGAUGGACCCGCGGCGUAUUAGUUAGUUGGUGAGGUAACGGCUCACCAAGACGAUGAUACGUAGCCGACCUGAGAGGGUGAUCGGCCACAUUGGGACUGAGACACGGCCCAAACUCCUACGGGAGGCAGCAGUAGGGAAUCUUCCGCAAUGGACGAAAGUCUGACGGAGCAACGCCGCGUGAGUGAAGAAGGUUUUUCCGGAUCGUAAAACUCUGUUGUCAGAGAAGAACAAGUUGGAGAGUAACUGCUCCAGCCUUGACGGUAUCUGACCAGAAAGCCACGGCUAACUACGUGCCAGCAGCUGC
Molecule: ribosomal RNA, 516 nt
Filed under: uncultured bacterium
Lineage: Bacteria
Description: bacterial SSU rRNA
Rfam family: Bacterial small subunit ribosomal RNA
Source: RNAcentral